This 1019-nucleotide ribosomal RNA is filed under the name Parabathippus shelfordi. RNAcentral describes it as "16S ribosomal RNA". The record is from RNAcentral. Lineage: Eukaryota; Metazoa; Arthropoda; Arachnida; Araneae; Salticidae.
AUAUAAAUUAUUUCUCCUAUUAAAAGUAAAUAUUACAUUACAUUUUAAAACAAUUAAAUAUAAUCUGAUAGAUUAAACAUUAUUUCUUAUCAAAGACUUAUUACAUUCCUUUAGUAUCAGGAAAUAUCAACUCCUUUCAUUUAACUUCAACAUCUCGAAAUUAUAUGAUCUAUAAUAUUAUAUUAUAUAUAUUUCAAUAUAUUAAUAUAUCCUAUAAUAGUAGUUAAACACAUUACGAAUAUAAUGAUAUCUAGUUUUUCAAAAUUCGUAACAUUCAAUUAUAUUAAAUUUUUCAGAAAUUUAAUAUAUUUAUACUUAAUUAAUUUUCAAUUAAAACUAAUAGUAUUUCAAAAGUUUAAUAACUAUUCAUAUAAUUUUAUAAACCUUUUUAUUGAAAUAGCUUUACAUUAAAAUAAUAAUGAUAUUAUAACUAGAUUUACUUUCUAAAAUAUAUAAACUUUACUAAAAUUUAAUGACUGUUUAACAAAAACAUUUCUAUUAAAAUUAUUAAUAGUAAGAUCUGCUCAAUGCUAAUUAAAUAGCCGCAUUUUGUGCUAAGGUAGCAUAAUCAUUUGUCUUUUAAAUAAAGACUAGAACAAAAGAUUUAACAUUUCAAUUUAUUUAUUUAAUUUAAAUUAUCAAAAUUACCAAAAAAGUAAUAAGACUUUUAUUUCCAAGAAAGACGAUAAGACCCUAUAGAACUUAACUUCAGUUAUACUGGGGAAGUAUAUUAAUUAUAAUUUUAAUCUUCAAUAUAAUAAUAAAUAUCCAUUAUCACUGAUUAUCCAGUUACCUUAGGGAUAACAGCGCAAUUAUAUUUUAAAGCUCUCAUUAAAAAAAUAGAUUACGACCUCGAUGUUGAAUUAAUAUCCUAGAUAUAGAAAUUUGUAUCAAAGGAAGUCUGUUCGACUUUUAAACAAUUACAUGAUUUGAGUUCAGACCGGUACAAGCCAGGUCGGUUUCCAUCUUCUACAAAUAAUUUUACAGUACGAAAGGACCUAUCAUUUUAAUAUCAUUAU